AAAGAUCUCCAUUUUGUUCUCUUUGGCGGCACUUAUGGCAAUAAGCAGUAAUUGCAGGUGUGUUUUUGGAUCUCACUUUUGA
Molecule: long non-coding RNA, 82 nt
Organism: Sander lucioperca (pikeperch)
Lineage: Eukaryota; Metazoa; Chordata; Actinopteri; Perciformes; Percidae
Exons: 3
Source: RefSeq, a predicted model, not a curated record